CAGCAGCCACGGUAAUACGUAGGUCCCGAGCGUUGUCCGGAUUUAUUGGGCGUAAAGCGAGCGCAGGCGGUUAGAUAAGUCUGAAGUUAAAGGCUGUGGCUUAACCAUAGUACGCUUUGGAAACUGUUUAACUUGAGUGCAAGAGGGGAGAGUGGAAUUCCAUGUGUAGCGGUGAAAUGCGUAGAUAUAUGGAGGAACACCGGUGGCGAAAGCGGCUCUCUGGUCUGUAACUGACGCUGAGGAGCUAAAGCGUGGGGAGCGAACAGGAUUAGAUACCCCAGUAGUCCCUGUCUCUUAUACA
RNAcentral lists this ribosomal RNA (301 nucleotides) under uncultured bacterium. RNAcentral's name for it is "partial 16S ribosomal RNA". It matches the Rfam family "Bacterial small subunit ribosomal RNA", at positions 509 to 808 of the family's 1533-position model. The record is from RNAcentral.